RNAcentral lists this ribosomal RNA (477 nucleotides) under uncultured bacterium. RNAcentral's name for it is "partial 16S ribosomal RNA". It matches the Rfam family "Bacterial small subunit ribosomal RNA", at positions 30 to 507 of the family's 1533-position model. The record is from RNAcentral.
AUUGAACGCUGGCGGCAUGCCUUACGCAUGCAAGUCGAACGGUAACAGGUUAAGCUGACGUGUGGCGAACGGGUGAGUGAUGUAUCGGAACGUGCCCAGUCGUUGGUGAUAACUGCUCGCAAGAGCAGCUAAUACCGCAUACGACCUGAGUGUUAAAGCGGGGGAUCGCAAGACCUCGCACGAUUGGAGCUCCCGAUAUCCGAUUAGGUAGUUGGUGAGGUAAAGGCUCACCAAGCCGACGAUCUGUAGCUGGUCUGAGAGGACGACCAGCCACACUGGGACUGAGACACGGCCCAGACUCCUACGGGAGGCAGCAGUGGGGAAUUUUGGACAAUGGGCGCAAGCCUGAUCCAGCCAUGCCGCGUGCGGGAAGAAGGCCUUCGGGUUGUAAACCACUUUUGUCAGGGAAGAAAAGGUUCAGGCUAAUACCUGGGACUCAUGACGGUACCUGAAGAAUAAGCACCGGCUAACUACGUG